Molecule: ribosomal RNA, 930 nt
Filed under: uncultured bacterium
Lineage: Bacteria
Description: bacterial SSU rRNA
Rfam family: Bacterial small subunit ribosomal RNA (bases 2-828)
Source: RNAcentral
AGAGUUUGAUCCUGGCUCAGAGUGAACGUUGGCGGCGUGGAUUAGGCAUGCAAGUCGAGCGAUCGUAGCAAUACGGGAGCGGCAAACGGGGUAGGAAUACAUCGGAACGUACCUUUUGGUUGAGAAUAGCGUUGGGAAACUGACGGUAAUACUCAAUAAAGUCGAGAGACCAAAGGUUUACUGCCGGAAGAGCGGCCGAUGCGAUAUUAGGUAGUUGGUGGGGUAAUGGCCUACCAAGCCUGAGAUGUCUAGGGGGUGUGAGAGCAUGGCCCCCACCACUGGGACUGAGAUACUGCCCAGACACCUACGGGUGGCUGCAGUCGAGGAUCUUCGUCAAUGGGCGAAAGCCUGAACGAGCGACGCCGCGUGCGGGAUGAAGGCUCUUGGGUUGUAAACCGCUGUCGGGGGGGAUGAAACCGUAAGGUUGACACACCCCCAGAGGAAGCACGGGCUAAGUUCGUGCCAGCAGCCGCGGUAAUACGAACUGUGCGAACGUUACUCGGAAUCACUGGGCUUACGGGGUGCGUAGGUGGCUUGAUAAGCAGGGUGUGAAAUCCCUCGGCUCAACCGAGGAACUGCGCUCUGAACUGUCGGGCUAGAGUAUGCUAGAAGGUGAAUGGAACAUCCAGUGGAGCGGUGAAAUGUGUUGAUUAUUGGAUGGAACACCAGAGGCGAAGGCGAUUCACUGGGGGCAUAACUGACACUGAGCACGAAGCGAGGGGAGCAGACGGGAUUAGAUACCCCGGGUAGUCUGUCAGUAACGAUGAGACUGAGGGGGGGGGGGGAGCUUGCCCUCUCCCUGCUGUAAGCGAAGCGUAGCUCUCCGCUGGAGAGAGAUGUGGCUCCGCAGGCUGAUCUCGAAGUAGUUGACGGGCUCAACAGCGUGGCCAUGUGCUUCUCGAGCACGGAGACUAACUAAUGGACCGCAGG